UACGUAGGGUGCAAGCGUUAAUCGGAAUUACUGGGCGUAAAGCGUGCGCAGGCGGUUGUGCAAGACAGAUGUGAAAGCCCCGGGCUCAACCUGGGAAUGGCCGUUGAAACUGGCGAACUGGAGUGUGGCAGAGGGGGGUGGAAUUCCGCGUGUAGCAGUGAAAUGCGUAGAGAUGCGGAGGAACACCGAUGGCGAAGGCAGCCCCCUGGGCUGACACUGACGCUCAGGCACGAAAGCGUGGGGAGCAAACAGG
RNAcentral lists this ribosomal RNA (253 nucleotides) under uncultured bacterium. RNAcentral's name for it is "partial 16S ribosomal RNA". It matches the Rfam family "Bacterial small subunit ribosomal RNA", at positions 524 to 776 of the family's 1533-position model. The record is from RNAcentral.